This 25-nucleotide microRNA is filed under the name Taeniopygia guttata (zebra finch). Its description in RNAcentral is "tgu-miR-2978". The record is from miRBase by way of RNAcentral. Lineage: Eukaryota; Metazoa; Chordata; Aves; Passeriformes; Estrildidae.
GUGGGCUGGGGAAGGGCUGCUGGGU